RNAcentral lists this unclassified non-coding RNA (185 nucleotides) under Glomeraceae sp. RNAcentral's name for it is "partial contains 5.8S ribosomal RNA and internal transcribed spacer 2". The stretch from base 1 to 71 matches the Rfam family "5.8S ribosomal RNA", at positions 84 to 154 of the family's 154-position model. The record is from RNAcentral. Lineage: Eukaryota; Fungi; Glomeromycota; Glomeromycetes; Glomerales; Glomeraceae.
GUGAAUCAUCGAAUCUUUGAACGCAAAUUGCGCUUCCUGGCAUCCCGGGAAGUAUGCCUGUUUGAGGGUCAGUAUUAACAAAAAAUCGGUUUGUUUGCAAAUUGUGUGGUUUCCGGAGUUUGGGCUAUCUUAACUUUUUUGGUUAAGGGACUUAAAAUUUUCCUGCUUUGCGCAUUUUUAUCCUU